GAGAAGGAUUUAGGGUUUGGAGAGGACCAAUUGAUCUGUGUCACGACAUUCCUUUCCUCCGCUUCAGAUCUGAAAAAUGUCGAGAACCGCCUUGAGUCUCGUCGCACUCCGCCACCUCCGGGCGCCUUCGCUUGGCGGCGUCCGUCUGAGUUCUUCUGAAGCCGCAAGCCCCAAUUCGAAACCCGAUGUUUAUGUCCAUUCUGAAGAGGAAGCGAAAGAAUUGUUCGAAAGCUGGUGCAAGAAGUAUAAGAGAGCAUACUCUUCCGAAGAGGAGAAACAGUUCAGGUUCGGCAACUUCAAGGAAACCCUUGCCUUUGUCACCCGCCGCAACGCGGACUUUGAUGAACCAAUUUCUAAAUGCUUCGGCACCAACAAAUUUGCUGAUUGGUCCGAUGAGGAAAAGAGGCGCCUCUGUGGGUUGCGUUGAUCAUGAUCUUAUUCUUACUUUGUUUGAAAAUCAGUUGACUUUGGCUAUUGGAACAAAAUCUUCUCACAGUAGAUGGCGUUGCUAACUGACAUAGCAGCUGCUGUACCAUAGACUCUACAAAUUUAUCUCAGUUGAAGUAUACAUGUGUUCGAGAGUGUGGGACAUGGAACCGUGGAGAGUGGAGGUGGUAGUUUGGGUGGAGAAGGCCUCUUGCGGGUACUUUUAUUAGCGAGCCCGGAUCCAAUUUUUAAUCGGAUUUGGUGGUCUAUUGCCCCCUCGAAUGUGAAGGUGUUUACUUGGAGGUUGGUGUUGGAUCGAAUUUCCAGCAAGGAGAUCCUGUGGAAGCGAAAGGUUUUGCAAUCACAGGAGGAGAUUACUUGCUCGGUUUGCGGUGUGGUUGCGGAGACAAGUGCUCACAUUGUCGUUUCAUGCCCUUUCUCGGUAGAUGUGUGGCGUGGGUACUAUCAUUGGCUUGGCGUUCAAACCGCCCUUCCAUUGGAGCCUCGUGCUCAUCUCUUGCAGUUUGUAUUUGGCUUGAAUAAAUUGCAACAAAAGUGUGCAUUUGCGAUUUGGUUGGUUGCAGCAUGGUCCAUCUGGCUCAAUUGUUUUCCGAGAUGGUGUGGCGGAUAUGUCAACGGUUAUGGAGCUGAUCAAGUGGAGGUCUUGGCAUUGGAUCAAGUCUAAGGUUGGUGGUUUUAGUUUCUCACUUUUUAAAUGGUCUACCCAACCAUUUCUUUGUCUGCAAGAGUUAUGAUUGUUAUCCGGUAUGGCAAUUGGUACUGUUUUUUUUGUGCUAGUUGUUGUAAUACGAAGGGUGAUCUUGGGAUUUUGAUGGGAAGUUGUGAUUUCGGUUGGCUGGAACUUGUUCGAGUUUGAUAAAGGAUAGUGCUUGUUUGAUGUUCCUACUGUUUGGUGAAUUGGAAUGGCUCAUGGUAGGCGUGUGAAAUUCAGAUUGGGAUAUUGGCUCUCUGGAAUGGUAUUUAGUGGUGCUGGUGCCAAUUGGCUUUUGAAGUUGCAAGUGUCUGUUUUCCCUAGUAUGUGUUAGAUAGUAUUUAGUUAAGUUUCUCAAUCAAAUAUGCAGGCGUGAAGUCACAAAGAAUAAACCUUGAAAAUGUCAUUUAUUAGUCGGGACUGCCACCGUAUCUCGAAAAGGGUUAUAUAUGUAUAUAAUUAGACUUAUGGGUCUCAAUCCUCAUAUAAUCCAAUCCAA
This is an RNA transcript of Lotus japonicus, 1637 nucleotides long. RefSeq lists it as uncharacterized. The record is from RefSeq and is a predicted model, not a curated record. The transcript is spliced from 4 exons. NCBI's taxonomy places the organism in Eukaryota, Viridiplantae, Streptophyta, Magnoliopsida, Fabales, Fabaceae.